This 464-nucleotide ribosomal RNA is filed under the name uncultured bacterium. Its description in RNAcentral is "partial 16S ribosomal RNA". It matches the Rfam family "Bacterial small subunit ribosomal RNA", at positions 29 to 507 of the family's 1533-position model. The record is from RNAcentral.
ACGCACGCUGGCGGCGUGCUUAACACAUGCCAGUCGCACGGAAAGGCCCUGCUUGCAGGGUACUCGUGUGGCGAACGGGUGAGUAACACGUGGGUGAUCUGCCCUGCACUUCGGGAUAAGCCUGGGAAACUGGGUCUAAUACCGGAUAGGAGCCAUUUUUAGUGUGAUGGUUGGAAAGUUUUUUCGGUGUAGGAUGAGCUCGCGGCCUAUCAGCUUGUUGGUGGGGUAAUGGCCUACCAAGGCGGCGACGGGUAGCCGGCCUGAGAGGGUGGACGGCCACAUUGGGACUGAGAUACGGCCCAGACUCCUACGGGAGGCAGCGGUGGGGAAUAUUGCACAAUGGGCGCAAGCCUGAUGCAGCGACGCCGCGUGGGGGAUGACGGCCUUCGGGUUGUAAACUCCUUUCGCUAGGGACGAAGCUUUUUGUGACGGUACCUAGAGAAGAAGCACCGGCUAACUACGUG